CAAUAGCGUAUAUUAAAGUUGUUGCAGUUAAAAAGCUCGUAGUUGGACCUUGGACCUGGACAGGCGGUCCGCCUCACGGCGUGUACUGUCUUGCUGGGUCUUUCCUCUUGGUGAUCUGUUGUUUCGGCAGCAGGGAACCAGGACUUUUACUUUGAAAAAAUUAGAGUGUUCAAAGCAGGCUCGACGCCGGAAUAUAUUAGCAUGGAAUAUUAAAAUAGGACGUGCGGUUCUAUUUUGUUGGUUUUUGGAAUCGCCGUAAUGAUUAAUAGGGACAGUCGGGGGCAUUAGUACUCACAUGCUAGAGGUGAAAUUCUUGGAUUUUGUGAAGACUAACUUCUGCGAAAGCAUUUGCCAAGGAUGUUUUCAUUAA
Molecule: ribosomal RNA, 370 nt
Filed under: uncultured eukaryote
Lineage: Eukaryota
Description: partial 18S ribosomal RNA
Rfam family: Eukaryotic small subunit ribosomal RNA
Source: RNAcentral